CUUUGAGAAAUAUUGGCAUCACUAAUUGUGACAUUGAGUCAACGCCAUAAGGGUAUGGCACUAUUGAGCCGACAUACAUUUUUUCUAUAGGACGUUUUCUGGUGAUUAGGAUUGAGCCGUCCCGGUUGUGAGCUGGUGCAAGCAGAAUAUUGGAUUCCACAGAGCUCUCUGAAGCAAAUGGCCAAUCAGAGUCUGUGCUUCAGUCUCUAAGAGCUUCAAGCCCCGCCUCUUCAGGUGAAGACAUGAAGACAGAACCUGUGAUGGACAGCGCAGAUUACACAGGGCUGGAGCUCAGAUCCUGUCUGAUUAAAAGUGAAGACGCAGAGGAGAGUAUAGAGGGGAAGAAUGGAUGUGGGAUGAGCAGGGAGGAAGAACUCAUUCUCUCCAACAUAAAGGAAGAGGAGGAGGAAGGUGGGGAGAGGCGGAGGGAGGAGGUGAAGACGAAGGAUGGUGUGAAAGAUGAAGAGCUUGCGGGAUAUGAAUGGAAAGAAGAAGAGAGGAAUGGAGAUGAAAUGAUACAAAAUAGAGUGCUGAAACAAGAUGAACGACCAGACUGCAAGGAACAAGAAGAUGAGGGCUUGUCCCCGAAAGUCACUUCCUGUCUGUUCACACAGCCGAGAGUGCCCUCUCCCAGAUCUCCUGUCAUCUCCUCCAGUAAAGGUAAUGCAGGGCGGUCUGGGGUGUUUGGCUGCUCCCAGUGCCCAUUCACUCACCUGGAAGAAGUGAAGCUUCACCAGCACGUUGAGAAGGUGCACCCAGAGGAGCACAGCAGGAUUCUGAGAUCUGGAGGAAACAGAGCAGAGAAGCCACUGCUUCCCAGCAGCACACAUCAGCACCCCACACCCCCUAAAACACUCCCCACCCCAACACAGGCCCACACAGGCACUGCAGGGGCCCACACCUGCUCCCACUGUGGGAAGAGCUUCAGGCGUAAGUCAAUCUUGACUGCACAUGAGCGAAUUCAUACAGGAGAGCGCCCCUACCACUGUUCCCAGUGUGGAAAGAGCUUCAGGUCUGUAUCGCAUGUGAGAGCUCAUGAACGAAUUCACACAGGGGAAUGUCCCUUUCAGUGUUCAAAGUGCGGUAGGAGCUUCGGUGACUCGAGCAGUCUUGCACUCCAGCGGACUCGUACAGGGGAGCACCCUUUACGCUGCACCCAGUGUGGGAAGGGCUUCAGAUCAGAAUUAGACCUGAAAGUCCACGAGUGUGUUCAUACAGAAGAGCGCCUAUACCACUGCUCCCAGUGUUGGAAGGGCUUCAGGUCUGCAUCACAGGUGAGUGGCCACGCUCAAAUUCAUACCCCAGAACUUCCUUACAACUGCUCUCAUUGUUGGAAGCGCUUCAGAACCAAAUCAAACCUGACGACACACGAGCGAGUUCACACAGGGGAAUGUCCCUAUCAGUGUUCAGAGUGCGGUAGGAGCUUCAGUCACUCGGGCAGUCUUGCGGUACACCUGCUGACUCACACAGGAGAGCGCCCUUACCACUGCGCCCAGUGUGGGAAGCGCUUCAGAGCUAAAUCAAAACUGAUAAUGCAUGAGCGAAUUCAUACAGGAGAGUUCCCAUACCAGUGCUCCCAGUGUGGGAAAAGCUUCAGGCAGUCAGGUAAUCUGAAAAUACACCAGCGGACUCAUACUGGAGUUACGCCAUACCGCUGCCCCCAGUGCGGGAAGAACUUCAGUGCACGAUUACGCCUGAAAACGCAUGAGCAUGCGCAUAGAGGAGAGUACCUGUACCACUGCUCUUACUGUAGGAAGGGCUUCAGAUCAAAAUCCUGCCUGACGGUACACCAGCGAACUCAUACCGGACAGCGCCCAUUCCACUGCUCCCAGUGUGGGAAGAGCUUCAGUCAGUCUGGUUCUCUGAAAGUACACCAGCGCAUUCAUACAGAAGAGGGCCCAUACCGCAGAUUCCAUUACCCAUUCUGCUGCUUCCAGUGCGGGAUAGGCUUCACUGAGUCUUCCACUUUGAUUGAGCACCAGCAAAACUGUACAGAAGAGUUCCCACCCCUCAGCUCCUAGAAUGGAAAGGGCUUCACUCAAUCCAGCCAGCUGAUGACGCAUCAGUGAUAUUGCAUAGGAGAGCUCAGUCAUAAAGCUGAUGACCCAUCAGUGAUAUUGCAUAGGAGAGCUCAGUCCAGCCAGCUGAUGACCCAUCAGUGAUAUUGCAUAGGGGAGCUCAGUCACACCACUCAAGACCCAUCUGCAGGGGCAUUACCUUGCUAUCAGUUCAGUUAGUUGGAGUUAGCCAGUCAGUCAGAACUGAGGUUUGUUUAAAGACACAAUCACUAACAGCCGGUUCUAUACAUAGCUGUUGGUAAAGCUCAUGAGAGGUGCUGGAGAAUGGGAAUGUAAAAUUAAGGAUUGCGUAGGUAACCCAGGUUCUAUGAAUGAAGGUCAACAAAAAGGUCAAGCCUCGCAGAGGUUUGGCUGUUUGGAGAAAUGAACCACUCCCCCCACCUGCGUGGAAUCAUACCCAACAAAUACAGGUGAGAGUCCGCCAGGGCAAGGCCAAGGGAGUCCAGGGCCACCCUUCUCGGGAACAAAUCACACCCUGACCUGAGACCGCUUGUCUGGUCUGGCCAGGAGACGCCAGGGGAAUACAAGCAGCUCUGCCAGCCAGGACUGAUGGGGCCAGUCUGGGGCCACCAGCAGCACCCUGGCCCGCACCACUGGCAGAAGAGGGAAGGGAGGGAGCGUAGGGAAGGGCCCGGGGCCACAUGUACGCAAGGGCAUCCACCCCCAACGUCCCUCUGGGACUCACCACUGAAUACCACCAGGAAUAAAGUGUGGUUUUGUGAGAGGCGAAGAGGGCCGCCUGAGCCUCCCCUGGAACAGGCCCAGAUGGCCAGCACAAUGUCUGGGUGGAACCACUAUUCCCCUGGAAGGGGACCUUCCCUGGACAGUAGAUCAGCUGCCACAUCGUCCUUCCCUGGCAGAUACAUCGCACUCAGUGACUCCCUGUGAGCAUGUGCCCACAGAAGAAGCUUGCAUGCCCUGCUGUGAAGCGACGGAGUGCAUCCCACCUUGGUGGUUGAUGUACGAAACCACCAUGGGAUUUGUCUGUCCGGAUGACAGACGGGCUUCUCUUGGGUCUUUGGCAGGAACUACUCCAAAAGUUUGAAACACCGCCUCCAACUCCAGCAGGUUUGCAUGAACUCCUCUCCAGGAGGGUCUCCACAGGUCUCAGACUAGCGCUCUGCCCCGUCCCUUGGGACGGUAGGAACAAUACCCGGAAACCGCAGAGGUUUGCUUUUGGAUUUGAGCCUCUACCCAGAUUCCAGGGUGCUGAGUGCCCAUGGAGACUGGGUAAACUGAAGCCAAUGAAACGGGUGUUGAGGCGUCAAGCAUAAAGCCAGACAACCGUCAGCGACGGCCUUUUGCUGCGAAAAGAGAUCCCAAACCGCCCCGCCUAAAACCGGCCAGGGCCCAAGGCCAGAGGUUCGCUGUGAGCCCAAAGGGACCGGGCCCUGUGCAACUACACGGCCCCAGCAGUACCGCCCUGAAGGUUUGGCUAUAGGCAUGGCUAGUGCCAACUGCACCGAACACAUCAGCUCCCUGGUCCCACAAUACUGCUCCAAAGCUGCCUCCGAUAGGGACCACUGGACCUGGGACUGCAUUAACGUCCUGCACAGCCAGAUUAGAUUGGGCCAGCCUGGACUUAGACUUCCCAGGAGCCUGGGCAUGCGUACUAGCCCCCUCGAUCCACAAAUGCACCCUUUCCUGGCACUAGGAGUAGUGGAGGACAGGUCCUGGAACAAGCCCUCCAAAUACUCCAGCAAGAUGGAUCUGGAGCAGGCAAGCCUCACUGCUAUAGCAGAGGACUGAUAGGCCUUACGCAACUGAUUAUCAGUUGCCAUGCAACGCCUGACAGGGUGGAUCACAUCGUAACCAGCUUUCACAAUUGCUCCUGCCAGCAGGACCUGAGGAGCUGUAGUGAUCCCAUCGGUCUCUCCAGGUCGGCCAGCUCGGACCGUGGGAGGUUAGCACGCUCACCCUGACGCACUAACCUUCCUGAGGGGAGAGGCGCCUCUCAGUAAAACCCGGGAGAAGAGGUUAUACUCGACAAUUCUAGCUCUCAAGAAGAGAAACCAAGACAUACCGCAAAACGGAGCUAACUUUUCUUCUAAACGAUUCAACAAAGUGGUCCCGAAGAGCACACUGUCUCGCAGGCCACUCGGGAGGAAAAAAAGAGAAUGAGCUGGCGGACUCUCACCUGAAUUUGUAAGGUAUGAUUCCACGCAGGUGGGGGGAGUGGUUAAUUUGUUACUCUUGUCUACUAACUGCUCAACCUCAGCAAGGCUUGACCUAUAUGAUGACGUGUUGACCGAUACGAAAUACAACUGGCUUGAGAUUGUUUUUGGUACUACAACAAAGCCUUCUUAUGUAUAAUAGGACCUAAAAUAAAACAAUUGAAAAUAAAAAAUAUGGGACCUUUAAGAUGGCCACAGGAAAAAGGUGGGUUGUGUUGUAGUUUGUUCUGGAGCCUUGAAGAAGGAUUUUACUUUUUGUGUUUGUGGUGGUUCCUUGGUUAUGUGCAUUUUGCUUGUUUCCAGUUUUUCCUGUUGUGCUGAACAUGGACAUGGUCCAUUAUCUUCUGUUUUGAAAGUAGUAAUCCUACAUUCAAUAAAAAAGUAUGAUUUAAA
This is an RNA transcript of Conger conger (European conger), 4645 nucleotides long. It is a transcript of the gene named zinc finger protein ZFP2-like, with no coding region annotated. The record is from RefSeq and is a predicted model, not a curated record. The transcript is spliced from 5 exons. Lineage: Eukaryota; Metazoa; Chordata; Actinopteri; Anguilliformes; Congridae.